GUGAACUACAAGAAAGUGAAGAAGAAGAAAGAAGAAAAGUUGUAUUCUUGAGUUAAUGUGAGGAAGCAGUUUAAGAUGGUGAAGGUUAUCCCAAAGGCAAUUAAGGUGAAGUGUUGGAGCCGUGGUUCACUUGAAGACUUAGACUACUAGUUGUUUUUUCUAUGACUUUUGGCGUGACAAUAUUUUGUAAUCCUAUUGCGGAACACAAAUGAAUUAACUAUGCUAUUAACUCUUCUUAUAUGUGUAUAUUAAAAUGUUUUGGUCAUC
Molecule: long non-coding RNA, 267 nt
Organism: Camellia sinensis
Lineage: Eukaryota; Viridiplantae; Streptophyta; Magnoliopsida; Ericales; Theaceae
Source: RefSeq, a predicted model, not a curated record